This 494-nucleotide ribosomal RNA is filed under the name Roseovarius tolerans. Its description in RNAcentral is "bacterial SSU rRNA". It matches the Rfam family "Bacterial small subunit ribosomal RNA", at positions 394 to 906 of the family's 1533-position model. The record is from RNAcentral. Lineage: Bacteria; Pseudomonadati; Pseudomonadota; Alphaproteobacteria; Rhodobacterales; Roseobacteraceae.
AUGCCGCGUGUGUGACGAAGGCCUUAGGGUCGUAAAGCACUUUCGCCUGUGAUGAUAAUGACUGUAGCAGGUAAAGAAACCCCGGCUAACUCCGUGCCAGCAGCCGCGGUAAUACGGAGGGGGUUAGCGUUGUUCGGAAUUACUGGGCGUAAAGCGCACGUAGGCGGAUUGGAAAGUUGGGGGUGAAAUCCCGGGGCUCAACCCCGGAACUGCCUCCAAAACUUCCGGUCUGGAGUUCGAGAGAGGUGAGUGGAAUUCCGAGUGUAGAGGUGAAAUUCGUAGAUAUUCGGAGGAACACCAGUGGCGAAGGCGGCUCACUGGCUCGAUACUGACGCUGAGGUGCGAAAGUGUGGGGAGCAAACAGGAUUAGAUACCCUGGUAGUCCACACCGUAAACGAUGAAUGCCAGUCGUCGGCAAGCUUGCUUGUCGGUGACACACCUAACGGAUUAAGCAUUCCGCCUGGGGAGUACGGUCGCAAGAUUAAAACUCAAAG